UAACAGACCAAUUUGAGCAAGUGCUUCGGUUUCGUCAGUUAUGACAAUCCUGUGUCAGCGCAGGCCGCCAUUCAGGCGAUGAACGGGUUUCAGAUCGGCAUGAAGCGUCUCAAAGUCCAGCUCAAGCGCUCGAAGAACGACAGCAAACCGUACUGAUCUUAGCACUAGGGCCUCUCUCAUGUUACACUGCUAGGAACUCAUCUCCAUGACUCUAUGCUCAUCGUUUGCCUAGCAUGUCUACGUGGCGUACAAAAAAAAAAAGUCUCAUCGUCCCGUCAUUAUUUCUGAUGUCUUUCUGAGUUCUCCUGCUCAUAAUCUGGUCUCCUUUUACUGAUCUUUGUACUUUGAUCUUAGCCUGAUCUUUUUUUUGGAAAAGUUUCGCAUGUGAC
Molecule: long non-coding RNA, 389 nt
Organism: Sinocyclocheilus anshuiensis
Lineage: Eukaryota; Metazoa; Chordata; Actinopteri; Cypriniformes; Cyprinidae
Exons: 3
Source: RefSeq, a predicted model, not a curated record